AUGCGCGGGAGCCGACUGGCGGCCCUCCGCCGCUUACCCUUCACAUCCACGGUGCAGGACUACGCCGACCGCUUCCAGGCCCUGGCGUGCCACGCGCCGGGCGUCUCCGCAACUCAGCGCGCCGAGUUAUUUGUGGGCGGUCUACCGGACCAUAUCCGCGUCGACGUGGAGCUUCGGGGACCCCAGGAUCUCCAGUCGGCCAUGCAUUACGCCCGCGCAUUCGAGCGCCACGCGGUGGCCAUCCAGCAGGAAUCACCGUCCCAGACUGUUGGGUCGCUACCCGGACCGGAUUCCGCGCAGGGUCGGCCUGUGCAGGCUUCUGUGGCACCCCUCGCCGCGACCGCGGGGCGCCCGUUCUACCGGCUCACCCCAGUUGAGAUACUCGAGCGUCGCCGCCAAGGGUUGUGCUUCAACUGCGACAAACCCUACAAGCCCGGCCACGCCUGCCCGCGACUCUUCUACCUGGAGGUGGCAAACUACAUUCCGGAGGACGCCGUCGCCGCCGACCUGGCCGCCCCAGAUGUCGAGAAGGUGUUUGACGCUGGUUGA
RNAcentral lists this ribosomal RNA (549 nucleotides) under Triticum aestivum (bread wheat). Its description in RNAcentral is "partial small subunit ribosomal RNA". The record is from RNAcentral. Lineage: Eukaryota; Viridiplantae; Streptophyta; Magnoliopsida; Poales; Poaceae.